GUGCCAGCCGCCGCGGUAAUACGAAGGGGGCUAGCGUUGUUCGGAAUUACUGGGCGUAAAGCGCACGUAGGCGGAUAUUUAAGUCAGGGGUGAAAUCCCAGAGCUCAACUCUGGAACUGCCUUUGAUACUGGGUAUCUUGAGUAUGGAAGAGGUAAGUGGAAUUGCGAGUGUAGAGGUGAAAUUCGUAGAUAUUCGCAGGAACACCAGUGGCGAAGGCGGCUUACUGGUCCAUAACUGACGCUGAGGUGCGAAAGCGUGGGGAGCAAACAGGAUUAGAUACCCCAGUAGUCC
Molecule: ribosomal RNA, 292 nt
Filed under: uncultured bacterium
Lineage: Bacteria
Description: partial 16S ribosomal RNA
Rfam family: Bacterial small subunit ribosomal RNA
Source: RNAcentral